RNAcentral lists this transfer RNA (52 nucleotides) under Leptorhynchoides thecatus. Its description in RNAcentral is "tRNA-Glu". Lineage: Eukaryota; Metazoa; Acanthocephala; Palaeacanthocephala; Echinorhynchida; Rhadinorhynchidae. The record is from RNAcentral.
CUUUAAGUAGUGUGAAGCAUUUAUUUUUUUCGUAAAUAAGGGUAYUUARAGU